AUUGAACGCUGGCGGCAUGCUUUACACAUGCAAGUCGAACGGCAGCGCGGGCUUCGGCCUGGCGGCGAGUGGCGAACGGGUGAGUAAUGCAUCGGAACGUGCCCAGUAGUGGGGGAUAGCCCGGCGAAAGCCGGAUUAAUACCGCAUACGACCUGAGGGUGAAAGCGGGGGACCGAAAGGCCUCGCGCUAUUGGAGCGGCCGAUGUCGGAUUAGCUAGUUGGUGGGGUAAAGGCUUACCAAGGCGACGAUCCGUAGCUGGUCUGAGAGGACGACCAGCCACACUGGGACUGAGACACGGUCCAGACUCCUACGGGAGGCAGCAGUGGGGAAUUUUGGACAAUGGGGGGAAACCUGAUCCAGCCAUGCCGCGUGCGGGAAGAAGGGCUUCGGGUUGUAAAACUCUUUUGGUUGGGAAGAAAAUCUGUGGGCUAAUACCCCGGGGGGAUGACGGUACCGGAAGAAUAAGCACCGGCUAACUACGUG
Molecule: ribosomal RNA, 484 nt
Filed under: uncultured bacterium
Lineage: Bacteria
Description: partial 16S ribosomal RNA
Rfam family: Bacterial small subunit ribosomal RNA
Source: RNAcentral